GGCCAAGUUUUUAAGGGCGCACGGUGGAUGCCUUGGCACCAGGAACCGAUGAAGGACGUGGGAGGCCACGAUAGUCCCCGGGAGUCGUCAACCAGGCUUUGAUCCGGGGGUUUCCGAUGGGAAACCCGGCAGUCGUCAUGGGCUGUCACCGCUGCUGAACACAUAGGCAGUGUGGAGGGAACGCGGGGAAGUGAAACAUCUCAGUACCCGCAGGAAGAGAAAACAACCGUGAUUCCGGGAGUAGUGGCGAGCGAAACCGGAUGAGGCCAAACCGUAUGCGUGUGAGACCCGGCAGGGGUUGCGUAUACGGGGUUGUGGGAUCUCUCUUUCACGGUCUGCCGGCCGUGAGACGAGUCAGAAACCGUUGAUGUAGGCGAAGGACAUGCGAAAGGUCCGGCGUAGAGGGUAAGACCCCCGUAGUCGAAACGUCAGCGGCUCGUUUGAGAGACACCCAACGUAGCACGGGCCCGAGAAUCCCGUGUGAAUCUGCGGGACACCCGCUAGGCCUAAAUAUUCCCUGGUGACCGAUAGCGGAUAGUACCGUGAGGGAAUGGUGAAAAGUACCGCGGGAGCGGAGUGAAAUAGUACCUGAAACCGUGUGCCUACAAGCCGUGGGAGCGUCGGAUGGAAGCUUGCUUCCAUCUCGUGACUGCGUGCCUUUUGAAGAAUGAGCCGCGAGUUUGCGGUGUGUUGCGAGGUUAACCCGGGUGGGGAAGCCGUAGCGAAAGCGAGUCCGAAUAGGGCGUUUCAGUAGCACGCUCAAGACCCGAAGCGGAGUGAUCUAGCCAUGGGCAGGUUGAGGCGGAGGUAAGACUUCGUGGAGGACCGAACCCACCAGGGUUGAGAACCUGGGGGAUGACCUGUGGUUAGGGGUGAAAGGCCAAUCAAACUCCGUGAUAGCUGGUUCUCCCCGAAAUGCAUUUAGGUGCAGCGUCGUGUGUUUCUUGCCGGAGGUAGAGCACUGGAUAGGCGAUGGGCCCUACCGGGUUACUGACCUUAGCCAAACUCCGAAUGCCGGUAAGUGAGAGCGCGGCAGUGAGACUGUGGGGGAUAAGCUCCAUGGUCGAGAGGGAAACAGCCCAGAGCAUCGACUAAGGCCCCUAAGCGUACGCUAAGUGGGAAAGGAUGUGGAGUCGCACAGACAACCAGGAGGUUGGCUUAGAAGCAGCCACCCUUGAAAGAGUGCGUAAUAGCUCACUGGUCUAGUGAUUCCGCGCCGACAAUGUAGCGGGGCGUCAAGCGUACCGCCGAAGUCGUGUCAUUGCAGCAAUACGGCCAACGCCGGCUGUGAUGGGUAGGGGUGCGUCGUGUGCCGGGUGAAGCAGCACCGGAAGGUAGUUGUGGACGGUUCACGAGUGAGAAUGCAGGCAUGAGUAGCGAUUCACACGUGAGAAACGUGUGCGCCGAUUGACUAAGGGUUCCUGGGUCAAGCUGAUCUGCCCAGGGUAAGUCGGGACCUAAGGCGAGGCCGACAGGCGUAGUCGAUGGAUAACCGGUUGAUAUUCCGGUACCCGCUGUGAAGCGUCAAACAUCGAAUCCAGUGAUGCUAAGCCCGUGAAGCCGUUCCGGACCCUUCGGGGAAAGGAAGUGGUGGAGCCGGUGACC
RNAcentral lists this non-coding RNA (1605 nucleotides) under Streptomyces afghaniensis 772. RNAcentral describes it as "Bacterial large subunit ribosomal RNA". It matches the Rfam family "Bacterial large subunit ribosomal RNA", at positions 1 to 1541 of the family's 2925-position model. Lineage: Bacteria; Bacillati; Actinomycetota; Actinomycetes; Kitasatosporales; Streptomycetaceae. The record is from Rfam by way of RNAcentral.